Molecule: ribosomal RNA, 575 nt
Filed under: uncultured organism
Description: bacterial SSU rRNA
Rfam family: Bacterial small subunit ribosomal RNA
Source: RNAcentral
ACACAUGCAAGUCGACGGGUAACAUAAGUGCUUGCACUUGAUGACGACCGGCGCACGGGUGCGUAACGCGUAUACAAUCUGCCCUUUACUAAGGGAUAGCCCAUGGAAACGUGGAUUAUACCUUAUAGUAUCAAGAAGUCGCCUGAUUUUUUGAUUAAAGGUUACGGUACAGGAUGAGUAUGCGUCCUAUUAGCUAUUAUGAGAGGUAACGGCUCCCAUAGGCGAUGAUAGGUAGGGGUUCUGAGAGGGAGAUCCCCCACACUGGUACUGAGACACGGGACCAGACUCCUACGGGAGGCAGCAGUGAGGAAUAUUGGACAAUGGGAGCAAUCCUGAUCCAGCCAUGCCGCGUGCAGGAAGACGGUCCUAUGGAUUGUAAACUUGCUUUUAUACAGGAAGAAAAAGGUGUACGUGUACACUGUUGACGGUACUGUAUGAAUAAGGAUCGGCUAACUCCGUGCCAGCAGACGCGGUAAUACGGAGGAUCCGAGCGUUAUCCGGAAUAAUUGGGUUUAAAGGGUCCGUAGGCGGGAUAAUAACGUCAGUGGUGAAAGUAUGUGGCUCAACCAUAAAAU